AGCGAGCCCUGAGAUGAGUCAUCCCUGACCCCUUGAGGGUCCUAAAGGGCCGUUGGAGACCACAACGUUGAUAGGCGGGGUGUGUAAGUGCAGCGAUGCAUUGAGCUAACCCGUACUAAUUACCCGUGAGGCUUAACCAUACAACACCCAAGAAGUGUU
RNAcentral lists this ribosomal RNA (159 nucleotides) under Aeromonas hydrophila AD9. RNAcentral describes it as "partial 23S ribosomal RNA". The stretch from base 1 to 140 matches the Rfam family "Bacterial large subunit ribosomal RNA", at positions 2791 to 2925 of the family's 2925-position model. The record is from RNAcentral. Lineage: Bacteria; Pseudomonadati; Pseudomonadota; Gammaproteobacteria; Aeromonadales; Aeromonadaceae.